Xenia sp. Carnegie-2017 is the source of this 454-nucleotide long non-coding RNA. RefSeq lists it as uncharacterized. NCBI's taxonomy places the organism in Eukaryota, Metazoa, Cnidaria, Anthozoa, Malacalcyonacea, Xeniidae. The transcript is spliced from 2 exons. The record is from RefSeq and is a predicted model, not a curated record.
CAAACUGCUUAGUAAUAGUAAUUGAACAUUCGAAAGUGAACAUGUUUCUUACUUUUUUGAGCUGUUAAAUGUUCAGUUUGUUGGUUUAGUUGCUAAAAGACCGAUCGAGCACUUCAGAAGAUCACACUUUAUUUGUCGUCUCAAUAUCUACGAAAUUAAAUAUUAAAUAAGGGCAUUUUCAUUGUGUUGUUGACGACGUAUAAAAUACAAGAGACAAGAAACAAGAAACCAGCCAAAGAAACAAGCCAAAAUAUCUAGGAUACCACUUUCAAAAAAAGAGCUUGGCAUAGCAGAAUACAUGAAUAUGGUCCGCCAAAUAACGUUCAACCAACGCCAGUGCACAGCGUAUGUAAAAUCUAUACGAGUCUAUUCAAAGUCGAAGCUAAUACAAUAUGUCUGAUAUCACAAUAAAAUGGCUUACCAGUAAGGACUUGUAAACCUUGCUUUUAUCUUU